RNAcentral lists this long non-coding RNA (3222 nucleotides) under Nicotiana tabacum (common tobacco). RNAcentral describes it as "long non-coding RNA (NTAB_LNC006300)". The record is from RNAcentral. Lineage: Eukaryota; Viridiplantae; Streptophyta; Magnoliopsida; Solanales; Solanaceae.
AUAUUUUUGAAAAUUUCCUUCUUAUCUUUUGGGAAUAUAAAAUGUCAGCACUAUUUUUGCAUUAUUUUUUCAAUUUUAUGAAAAGUAAGAAAAACUAAAAGUUACUAGUCAAAAUAACAAUUUGCUCAUAAAGGAAAAUAUUUUUGUAAUUUUCAUUGUAAAGAUAAACUAAAGCAAAAAGUCAAAAAUAAUCAAAAUACUGAUACUAGACGUAAAAUAAAUAUCUAAAUACUAAAAUGAGUAAAUUUUCAGGUAUGGUUAAAAAUUACAUGUCUACAAAUACUGAACUGAAUACCUUAAACAUACCAAGGCCUUUCUGAUACUCGGGUUGCUUUAAACACACAAAUAACAAAACACAAUGCUAAAAAUUGGAGAUUAACAUACUGAAUCAAUUAUAUUAUCUACGUACCGUGUAAAACACUGAAUAUUAGCUAGAUUAAUUGAACAUAAUAACCUUGAGUCAUGACAUGUUAUUUAAGAGAAAAGACUUCAGCUAACCUUGGCUUUAAAAGAAAAAAAUAACAACUACCAUUGUUAAUACUUAGUUAUGAAUUGUCAAAUGAUUGUAGGCCAGCAAACCCUAGUAAAGACCACAUAAACUACUAUAGUUGUUUGAUAGUUUUAAAAUUAUCAAAAAACCAUACAUGGCAUAACUAAGCUAACCUGAUCAUUCAUAUUAAUACUAAGUUUAGGUUAAACAUCCAGAUUCAGAAUAUUUACAAAAACAAAAUGCUAAACCAAAUAAACUGCAAAUAACAUACAUUUUUGACAAAGAUGAAAUUAUAACUUUAACGCCCAAACUCGCUACAAAAAACAUACAUAUGAAGCUAUAACUUUAACACUCAACCUAUUAUUACAAAACAAGCUAAAACAUGCUUUACAUCCUCAUUUGCCAUUCUGAAGUUCAUAAGAGUACCUGGAUACCAAUAACAAAACAAGAAUGAGGCAAGAAUUUCAGCAAACAAAUGAGUGAGGACAACAGCAAAUCAACAACAGGGCACAACUUCAAAUUAGUCCAUAUUCAACCCAAAAAAAAAACCAAAAACUCAGCAGAAGUUUCUAAAUCCUUGUUAAGAACCUCAGAAAGGAAUAAACUAACUCCUAAUGAAAUAGUGCAGAAAAAAACUUUUUAAUCUUUAUGGGGGUCUGAAAGUCUAUAUCCGUCUGUCAAAUGAAUGAAGAAAAGGUGCUUUUUAUAGGUUUCAAUGUCAUGUGCUAGAAAAUUAUUUUGGAAAUUUCCCCUAUCAACCUGAAAAGGGCAUCUUGUAACAACCUGGGACAACUGGCUCCCCCUCAUUGGUUUCAGCAUUUUGUGCUAACCAAAUGAGGUCAGCUGCCCCCUAUUCUAAAACCUUCCACCUUAGUCUGGGCCAAUUGCCCUGGCCAACUCACGGCCAAAUGGCCUCAAAUAGGCCCAAGUGCAAUAACAAAGUUCAAUAGCAAUCAGGCCUUAACUGAUCAGGCCUUAAUUGGCAAAAACAGAACCAAAUAUCAAAUUAAACAAAAAUCAUCACUAAUUACCCUAGCAAAAUCAUUUGAACCUUCUGAACAUAAUUAGCUAACAAUUAAAUCUAAAUAAAUAGCAGAAAAUCUAAGAGGUCUGCAAUAUUAAGCAUAACUUUAUUUAAAUUACCCUAAAACAUAUUGUAAUUAGCCAUUCACACCUCCUUUUUACCACCCAAGGGGGUAUAUAAGGGAGUUUUUUCAAUUAAAGUGAUAUAAAUCGAAAUGGGAUUACUUUAUUUAUUUUCAAAGUCGUCACUUGGGAUAAUUUAUUUGAUGUCCAAAACCGGUUUAUUUUUAAAUCUCAAAUCGAGGAGAAUCGACUUUAUUUAAAAGUCUGCGAAACCAGAAAUCUAAUAAGGAAUUCUGUUAACCCGGGAGAAGGUGUUAGGCAUUCUCGGAUUCCGUAAUUUUAGCGCGGUUGCUUAGCAAUUUAUACUCGGCUUAUUUUGUCUAAUUACUCAUUUUAGGACCUAUGUUUAUUUUAUCUUUUACCGCUAUUAAUACUUGAUAAUCCAUAUUUAAAGAAUUAACUUAAGAUGAGUUACGCGUACGUAUACUCAUUCCGUUUGGCGUGUCAAAAAUUAUGUCACGCGUAUGUGUCCACAAUUAAUCACACUUUAUUAUUAUUAAGAAUAUUUGGCUAAGGUUGCGCGAAUAUAUUUUCUCAAGCAGCACUCAAGAUGCCAUAAGAAAGUUGUUGUGACACAAUGGGUCAUACAAGUCAUGACAAGCCAUGAUCAUUGUAAAGACAUAACCUAGCUGUAUUGAAUUAUCCUAAAAUCCAAAUUCAUGGAAUCCAAAACCUAAAUUGCCAAAUAUUCAGGAAACGCAAAUUUGGAAUGGUAUCUCUGCAGUAUAAAAUAGUGAUUGAACACUAUUUUGACCAGUGUUUAUAAUCUACUAUCUUGUUUUACAUAAUAUGCAGAUCAUAUCAAUGUAUAUAAUACAAAACAAUUCUAUUUAAACAAAAAAUAGGAACACCCCCCUCCCCCUUAAAAUAGACUUCAAUUUGCAGUGCACAUGAACAUACAUCUAGCAAAAGAACGCCAAAACAGUAAAAAUCUAAAUUUUCGCAUUUCAUGGCAAAACAAAAGAAUUGAUCCUUUUUUUUUUACAGAACAAGAACUUGAAUUCAAAGAUGAAUACCUGAUUAUGCGCGAACUACUCUAUGCGUACCAAAUAAAGGCUAGACAGAAGGGAAAAUGAAGCUCGGCAAGACAAAACUAGCUACGACAACAGGGAUAGCAGAAGAGAGCUUAUAUUCUCAGUUGAAAAUUUGAUUGAGGAACCAGAAUUUGUAUAAAAAUACAGUAGAAAAAUGCAACAACUUUAUAAUCUCUUUCCAUGAUGUUUCUUUGGAUUUUUCUCUAUAAUUUUUCUUGUAUUUUUUAGAUUAGGAAUCCUAAGUUUGUCCACUACUUCCUCUCUCUUGUGUAUGUGGUUGUCUUCUAGGGUAAUCAAAGGGGUACAUGGCUGAUCUCUAAGGGUUAGGGAUUUUAGGUCUUAGGUCUAUUUUUGGAGAAGAUGAUGAAGAAGAAAGGAGGGGAUGGUCGUUUGUCUAUGUUCAAGAGCAGAGAGGAGUCGUUCAUCUCUCUUUAGAGAGGGGGAGAUCUGAUAUUAUCUCUAGGUCUAAGAAAAUAUUUUUUUAUAUGUAGGAGGUAGGAUUUUAGUAAAGGGUAAUGGCUAUUUGGGUAGUGAGCUGAGAUUGUAUGGGCU